This is a non-coding RNA of Gavia stellata (red-throated loon), 609 nucleotides long. Lineage: Eukaryota; Metazoa; Chordata; Aves; Gaviiformes; Gaviidae. The record is from Rfam.
AGGACAAAAGACUUAGUCCUAACCUUACAGUUAAUUCUUGCUAGACAUAUACAUGCAAGUAUCCGCGCACCAGUGUAAAUGCCCUCAAUCUCUUGCUUGCAAGACAAAGGAGCGGGCAUCAGGCACACCCAUGAUUAAAUCGUAGCCCAAGACGCCUUGCUUAGCCACACCCCCACGGGUAUUCAGCAGUAAUUAACAUUAAGCAAUAAGUGUAAACUUGACUUAGUUAUAGCAGCCCUUAGGGUCGGUAAAUCUUGUGCCAGCCACCGCGGUCACACAAGAGACCCAAAUUAACUGUAAUACGGCGUAAAGAGUGGCAUCAUGUUAUCCCACCAACUAAGAUCAAAGUGCAACUGAGCUGUCACAAGCCCAAGAUGCAUUAAAAACCACCCUCAAGACGGUCUUAGCACUCACGAUCGAUUGAAUCCCACGAAAGCUGGGGCACAAACUGGGAUUAGAUACCCCACUAUGCCCAGCCCUAAAUCUUGAUGCUUACCCUACUGAAGCAUCCGCCUGAGAACUACGAGCACAAACGCUUAAAACUCUAAGGACUUGGCGGUGCCCCAAACCCACCUAGAGGAGCCUGUUCUAUAAUCGAUAACCCACGAU